UGGUCAUCCUAACCAUCUUAUAGGCACUGUCCAACUCUGCAAACAGAAACUCUAGGACAGGUUUCUCCAAGAUGCUGAGAUACUGUGGUGCUUCCUCAGAGCCCAUGUCAAAGAAAUAGUAAGGAGGGAAUUGGCCCUAUUUCUGCAAAGAAACCAAAAUGCUUUUAGUGAAAGUGGACUCUAGACCUCUUGGGCCCCUUGAAAAGUGUAGUGUGUAAGUGCCAGAAGAGGUAUAGAUGGAUCCCAGAGAAACCCAGUAGGUCUGCAGAAACCAUGAAAAAUGGAAGUUAGCAGCCUCAAAUAGAGUAACAUCUUCUGUGAUGCUAGAGCAGAAAAGCAGUGACAGGUGUGAUCUGAUAAAGGCAAGUCAGGUUCAUAAACACAAAUGAGAGCUAGUCCUUGGAGGUUCCUAGAAAUAAUGGGGAGAACUUAGAAAGAGUUUUUAGGUUCUAUACAUUAGAAGAUGGUAAGAGUCAAUAGGUGAUACCAAUAGGCAGUCGUGAAAAGUGAAGGAUAUAGAGACAAAGCAUGUGUCUUUGAAGACCACUUUCUAGCCACUUGAACCUCUGUAAAAUAAGAAAAGGUGAUGCAUGGAUGGCUCUCUAUCCUCCGUAUUCACUAACUUGCCUCGAUCCACACAGAGGGCAACUCUACUGUUUCUCUUACAUCACAGUCCUCUGUUUGACCUCACUGGAAUUUUCCUAGGGAGCAAGGAUUGCUCAUCUCAUUGGUCAGGAUUUAAGAGGAUAGUUGGCAGAAUAGCAAUGUCUUAAAAUCAAAUUUCAUGAGGCUUUUUUCCCCACUCCUGGCAUCUGUGUAGGAAGCCAACCACACUUUGUACUUUGUUCCUACCUUUAUUCAAGAUGAAGGCUGGCCUCCCCGGACGUGUGCUUUCCAGGCUGUGGUAUCUGCUUUCCUCCCAGAAAGGAUUAUUCAUCUGUCCUCUCACAGCCAUGCCGUCAGCACCAGGGAGAGUCCCUGCCUCCCCGCUGGACCGGAGAUUCCCCACAGCCACAGGUCACGAAACACAGAAGCUCCCUGGGCCGAUUCCCUGGAAAGCGGACAGGGCUUAUGCGGCAUGUCCCUCACACUCUCAGCAUACCUAACACUUUCCAUCUUGUUUGUCUGUAUUUAGAGAAGCAGAAAAGCCUUCUAGAAAGGGUGCUGGACUUUGAGCCGCUCACCUCAGGUCACCUUGCGGGGAGGGAGAGUGACUUAUUUUGGAACAACUAGUUGUUGUGUGGUACAAUAGGUGUGCUCUCAGUUUGCAAAGUUUUAUCCUCAGAGCCAUGCUUUGGGGUAGAUAUUUUUAACACUGCAUUUCAGUUCAAGAAACUGAGGCAGAAAGAGAGUAAGUAACUUGCCCCCAGAGUUACCCAGUGAUUGUGUUGGACCUAGAAGUUUAACCCAAACUGGGGCCAUAAUAAAGUCCAUGCCCUUGGCCACACCCUCAUCUAACAAAAGAGCGUGGUGGUGAUGUCUGGGGUCCCUUCAGUUUCCAAAAUUCUGUAAUGCUUUAUAGUCAUAUGCUCUCACAGUAAAUUUUUUCAUUUUUUUUAAACUGUAAAGACUAUUUAUAUCUUACUAUUCAAUGUGCUCUCUCUUCCUGGCAUGCAUGAGGGGUUUAAAAAAUCUUAGUUGAGUUGAACUAAAACUGAAUUUUCAAAUCCUCAUUUUCUUCAUCUUUAAACUGAUGAUAAUGGUCUCUGUGUCAUCAGUUUCAAGAAGCUCAAAAAAUCCUAUGUUUGGAAACACUUUUUGGAACUAUAUUACCAGAGUAUUGUAUGGAACAUAUUAUUGCAUUGGUAUAUAUAUUAUGCAUGCAUGCAGAUAAGUAUAUGUGUCAUAACUAUACUUAAUGACUAUUAUGAAAUGAACACUCAGCAUCCAGAAUAAGAAGCAAAAUAUUGCUAGAAUUUCAGACAUCUCACUGUGCUUUCUUCUACUUACUUUCCCCUUACCCAAGGAUAACUACCAUCCUGAUAUUAAGGAUAAGUAUUCUUUGCUUUGUCCUGUGAAAAAUGCUAUAUUAAAUAAUAGACAUGCCCUUGCGUGUCUGGCUUCUUUCACUCAACAUCUUGAUGUGAGAUUCAUCCAUAUUUCUGGUUGUUCUAUUUUUUCUCAUUGAAGUAGAAUAUUCUAUUGUGGGACUAUGCUGCUGCUGCUGCUAAGUCACAUCAGUCGUGUGCUACUCUGCGCGACCCCAUAGACGGCAGCUCACAGGCUCCCCUGUCCCUGGAAUUCUCCAGGCAAGAACACUGGAGUGGGUUGCCAUUUCCUUCUCCACUGCAUGAAAGUGAAAAGUCAAAGUGAAGUCGCUCAGUUGUGUCUGACUCAGCGACCCCAUGGACUGCAGCCUACCAGGCUCCUCCGUCCAUGGGAUUUUGGGACUAUACCAGAGUGUAUAUAUCUAGUCUACUCCUGAUAGGUAUUUUCAGUUUUCAGUAACUGACAAUUACGAAUAAUACACCUAUGAACAUUCUACUAUGUGUCUUUUAUGGACAUACAGAUGCAUUUGAAUUAAGUGUAUCCCUGAAGUAUAUGUGUAUAUUUAACUUUAAUAGAUACUUUGCCUAGAAAUUAAGUACCUUAGGUAGGAGAUAUGUAACCAUAGAUGAUGCUAGCAUUGUGGUGGGGCAGGAUGGAAAACUUCAGGCAUAUUCGUUCCUUAUAGGAGACCUCCAACUAAAUAAGAGCAAUGUAAACCAACAAGUUUGGGCCUUUUUCACAGUUUGGGUCCCCAGGAAGUAGAGUCAGGUAUUUUGCAGAAUGUCCCUCAAUAUGUGCUUGUCUUAUGGCUUUUUUAUUAUUAUAAUUUUACAUAAUUAUAGGGAUUUGGGAUUUUGAAGAAAAUUAUUAAAACGACAGAGGUGAAGUGUGCUUCUCACCACUUUCAGCAGGAAGGAAGUGACAGGUGGUGAUGUUAACCUUCAUCACUUCAUUAAGUUAGAGCCCACCAAAUACUCCUCUGUAAAGUUACUAUAAUUUUCCUUUCUGUAUUUUAUUAUUCAGAAACAAAUUCCUAAGUCCAGCCCACAUUCAAGAAGCAG
RNAcentral lists this long non-coding RNA (3050 nucleotides) under Ovis aries (sheep). RNAcentral describes it as "lncRNA (ENSOARG00000025600.1)". The record is from RNAcentral. Lineage: Eukaryota; Metazoa; Chordata; Mammalia; Artiodactyla; Bovidae.